Long non-coding RNA from Mya arenaria, 3235 nucleotides. RefSeq lists it as uncharacterized. The record is from RefSeq and is a predicted model, not a curated record. NCBI's taxonomy places the organism in Eukaryota, Metazoa, Mollusca, Bivalvia, Myida, Myidae. The transcript is spliced from 3 exons.
CUUUCUUUUACUAGUACUGGCUUCUUCUAGUAAUUGGCCUCUACUAAUACUGGCUUCUAUUAGUACUGACUUCUACUUGUACUGACUUCUACUAGUACUGGCUUCUAUUAGUACUUGACUUCUACUACAACAUGGAUUCUACCAGUACUGGCUUUCACUAGUACUGGCUUCUAUUAGUACUGACUUCUACUUGUACUGACUUCUACUAGUACUGACUUCAACUAGUAGUAGUACCAACUUAGUAGAAGUUGGCUUCUAAUUGUGCUGACUUUUAUUUGUACUGAUUUCUUCUAGUAUUUGUCUUAUACUAGUACUUGGCUUUGACUAUUACUGAUUUAUAAUAGAACUUCACUUCUAUUAGUACAGAUUGUUCUAGUAUCUGGAUUCUGCUAUUUUUUACUAGUACUGUUUACUAGUCCUCUAUUAGCUUUUCUACUAGUCCUUCUAAUAGUCUGUACAGGAAAUUGAAUCAAGAAUGAUCAAAAAAGCUGUUUUUACAAUAACACUUGAACAAAAAAGAUGUGACAGCCAUUGCAAAACAUGAGACAUCGCUGUAUAAAUGGAAGGGAAGAAGGCAGCGUAUUCUGGUAAAAAUCUCCACGAGGUGCAUGUUAUCAUUUUUGCUUAUGUAAUAGGAAGCUUUUCUAGAUUUUACAACAACCUUUUCACCAUAAAAGUAAUAAUUAGAAGUUUAACGUGUUAAAAUUGUAUAAAAGAAUUAAAUUGUAUUUUGGAAGGAAUAAAGUUACUGAGCAGUAAAACUUCAUCAUAAAAAUUGUUCAUUAUGUCUGUAUAUGAACAUGUAAAUGCCUAUUUUAACCUGAAAGCAUAUUUUCUUGACAUAAAAUUCUGUACUUAAUAAAAACAGUUAAUGGUAGGUCUCAUAAAAAUGGAGAAAAAUUAAUAACCUGUUAUAUUUUAUACCUGGUGUCAGGGAUACUUUGUGUACUAAGGCAUAUAUGACGGGCUUGGAAGGUGAAGAGAGGCAGUCAAAAUAGGUAUAAGUUGUUUAAAAAUCUUGUAAGAUAUCAGAUAAAAAGUGGUCAGUAAAAUUGAGUCUGAUUUUAAGCUGGACUAUUCGAAGAAUAAGGAGAGCUAUACUACUCACCCAAGCGUCUGCGUCGUGUCAUACCUUGGUUAAGGUUUUGCAUGCAAGCACAUCUCAGUAAAUACAUCAUGUUUUGCAUUGAAACUUUAGAUAUGUAUUCCCAACUAUCUAACCUACUAAAUUAAUGAAGUAAGAUAACAAUUAUUUGAAUUUAAUGCAAAUAAUAGGCCUUUAUUAUUCGACUUAGAAAUUCUGGUUAAGGUUUUGCGAUCAAGCACACAUAGGUUAAUAUCUCAGCAACUACUUGAGGUAUUGCAUUGAGACUUUAUACAAUGGUACUGAACCAUCCAACCUACUUAAUUAACCAAGUAAGAUAACUCUAGUUUGCAUUAAAUUCAAAUAAUGGCACCUUUUUUAUUCGACUUAAAAAUUCGGGUUAAGGUUUUGCAUGUAACCACAUUUAAGUCAAUACCUCAGCAAAUAAUUAUAUCAUGUUUUGCAUUGAAACUUUAGAUAUGUAUUCUUAACUAUCUAAUCUACUAAAUUAAUGAAAUAAGAUAACACUUUUUUGAAUAUAGUGCCAAUUAUGGGCCUUUAUUAUUUGACUUAGAAAUUCUGGUUAAGGUUUUGCAUGUAAGCACACAUAGGUUAAUAUCUCAGCAACUAUUUGAUGUAUUGCAUUGAGACUUUAUACAAUGGUAUUCAACCACCCAACCUAAUUGAAUAACCAAAUUAGAUAACUGUAUUUUGCAAAUAAUGGCCCUUUAUUAUUAGACUUAGAAAUUCUGGUUAAAAUUUUGCAUGUAUCUACAUUUAUGUUAAUAUCUCAGCACAUCAUGUAUUGCAUUGAAAUCUACUCUAACAGUGAUCCAUGCAUGUUUCGCCAAAACCUUUCAAUCCCUACACUGAAAAGCGGCGGAAUAGUCGAGCGUGCUGUCUCUGUGACAGCUCUUGUUUUUUAGUCUACUUGAGGUGAGUGAGACAUGACUGUUGCAAUGGCGGUUUCAUCCCAGUCAUGUUAGUCUGACUGUCCGGACUGAACCUUGUCCAGGCUGUAUCUUGACCAUGCAUUAUAGGAUUUACUUGAAUUUUAAAUUGCCAUUAAUGUUAACCAUGAUGAGGUGGUGUGUGGCACAAAAGACAAGGUCUGUACCUCAAAGGUCAAGUUCACACUUAGAGGUCAAAGGUUAAAAGUAUCCUUGUCUGUGCUGUGUCCUUACCAUUCCUUAUAGGAUUUUCUAAAAACUUGCCAUGAAAGUUCACCAUGAUGAGGUCUAUUGUGUCUGGUUCCACAUACUGUUCAUCUCAAUGUUAUUCUGUGUUGCAAUUGCAUGGAAGAAUAUCAUGUCUGUGUCAAAGGCUCUUUCAAAGGGCUCGCAAUGUCACCAUUUGGCAUAUUGUUUUUGGUACUUCUGCUAUUAUUUCACUCAGCUGGCACGAGACUUCAAUCAGUGCCAGACCUUGAAAGUUAAAGGAAUGGUGAUACUGUUGUAUGUUUAUUAAUAUUACAAAUGUUUCAGUUACUUAGUAUGUCAUCAGUCUGCUUAAAGCUCAAAGAUUGUUCAUAUGUUUGUAAGAAAUCACAAUAUUAGUACUAGAAUUACUGAACUUAAUGUCAUAACUGCCACCCCCAGAUUAAGCGAACAAACCAAACCUUUUAAGACAUUUGUUUAGAUCCAAGCUCUAGUGACCUACUUGGCAACUUUGUUCAGCAUUUUUACACUUAAUGAUUGUCUUGAUUUCUAUGAAAUUAUGUACAAGUGCUUGAUGUGUUUGCAGUUCUGUUUGCAGAAAGACCGUCACCCAAGUUGGAGAUAGUUCUAAAUCUGCUGUCAAGUACCACAUCCUGACAAACCUGUUAUCCAAAUAUGUGCCUCCACCAUUGUAAGGGCUUCCAUUAUUUGAGGACAGAUUCAAGUCAGAUCAGAAGGAUGCUUUAAUAUUGUUACAAAACUGAUACCCUUUGCAAGAAGGAGCAACUAGAUUAACAAAUCUUCAGGCCAUGUCAUGAAAGCAUGAAAAUACUACUGCAAAUUUAAUGGGACUAUUUCAUGUUUCUGCUGUUUGGUCAAGUGCGGCGCUGGCCACUAUUUGCAUGCCAGUGAUGGCCAAGCCAGAGAGCACAGUAGUGGGUUGAUUGCCUUUAAAUAUCGGAACAGGACACUUGUUGGACCUCAAAUGCUAUCA